Molecule: ribosomal RNA, 586 nt
Filed under: uncultured bacterium
Lineage: Bacteria
Description: bacterial SSU rRNA
Rfam family: Bacterial small subunit ribosomal RNA
Source: RNAcentral
AGAGUUUGAUCCUGGCUCAGGAUGAACGCUGGCGGCGCGCUUAACACAUGCAAGUCGAACGAGGUCCAUGGAGCUUGCUCCGGAAGAUCUAGUGGCGAACGGGUGCGUAACACGUGAGAAACCUGCCCCGAUCUCUGGGAUAACAGUUGGAAACGACUGCUAAUACCGGAUGCCGUCACACCGCUUCAUGGCGGAGUGCCGAAAGAUUUAUCGGAUUGGGAGGGUCUCGCGGCCUAUCAGCUAGUUGGAGAGGUAACGGCUCACCAAGGCAUCGACGGGUAGCUGGUCUGAGAGGAUGAUCAGCCACACUGGGACUGAGACACGGCCCAGACUCCUACGGGAGGCAGCAGUGGGGAAUCUUGCACAAUGGGCGAAAGCCUGAUGCAGCAACGCCGCGUGCGGGAAGAAGGCCCUAGGGUUGUAAACCGCUUUCAGUAGGGAAGAAAAUGACGGUACCUACAGAAGAAGGUGCGGCCAACUACGUGCCAGCAGCCGCGGUGACACGUAGGCACCAAGCGUUAUCCGGAUUUAUUGGGCGUAAAGAGCUCGUAGGCGGUUCGGUAAGUCGGGUGUGAAAACUCUGGGC